GUGAGGCUUUCUCCUUGGUAUUUCUCCGGUGAAGACCAAACAUCUUAUUCCUGAAAUAAUUACUCAACACAAAGGUUAGAUAAAUCCUCACACACUCAAGUGUUUAUCCUCACCCACUCAAGUGUUUCUCUCAGAUUUAGGUGAUCACACACAAGUUUCUACUCAAUGUUCUAAGAGAACAAAUCAAAGAAUCUCAAUGGGCAAAUCCAAGCAAACAAGGGAAUUUCUGAAGAUAGAAAGAUAAGAGAUUUUUUUUUUUUUGAUUUUUGAAAUCCGUUUUAACCACCUCAAAGGCUGGAUUUCUCCUCAGCCAGCAGGCUUUCUCUUCCACCACCAAUCCACAAAAGAAACUUUGAACUUUUUCUAUAUUUUUUUUUCUUUUUGAAUCAAAUCGUAAAUCUUUUUUUUUAUAUGGAUGGUAAUGAGGGGCCCAGAUUUAAGAAAGGUAGAAGAAGAAGUGUUUAUAAGAAAAUAGAAGAUGGGAAAGAUGAAUGAAAUAGACAAUACCGGAAGAGUGGCUCUGAUACCACUUGAUAGAACCAAAAUAAGGAUGACUCUUUCGGUAAGGUUGAUAUGAACUCAGAUCCGAGAGGAUUGAGAACUGAUGGAUCGAGGGGUGACACUAAGGGUUGCGGAAUAGCCCAAAGAUACUACCA
RNAcentral lists this long non-coding RNA (656 nucleotides) under Brassica rapa (field mustard). RNAcentral's name for it is "long non-coding RNA (BRAP_LNC008006)". Lineage: Eukaryota; Viridiplantae; Streptophyta; Magnoliopsida; Brassicales; Brassicaceae. The record is from RNAcentral.